UACGGGGGGGGCAAGCGUUGUUCGGAAUUACUGGGCGUAAAGGGCUCGUAGGCGGCCAACUAAGUCAUACGUGAAAUCCCUCGGCUUAACCGGGGAACUGCGUCUGAUACUGGAGGGCUAGAGUGCGGGAGAGGAGAGUGGAAUUCCCGGUGUAGCGGUGAAAUGCGCAGAUAUCGGGAAGAACACCCGUGGCGAAGGCGGCUCUCUGGAACGCAACUGACGCUGAGACGCGAAAGCGUGGGGAGCAAACAGG
Molecule: ribosomal RNA, 253 nt
Filed under: uncultured bacterium
Lineage: Bacteria
Description: partial 16S ribosomal RNA
Rfam family: Bacterial small subunit ribosomal RNA
Source: RNAcentral